AACGAACGCUGGCGGCAGGCCUAAAACAUGCUAGUCGAACGAUGCCUUCGGGCUUAGUGGCGCACGGGUGAGUAACGCGUGGGCACGUGCCAUUUGGUGCGGAACAACCGCUGGAAACGGCUGCUAAUACCGCAUAAUAACUUCGGUUCAAAGAUUUAUCGCCAAAGGAUCGGCCCGCGUUCGAUUAGAUAGUUGGUGGGGUAAUGGCCUACCAAGUUGACGACCUAUUGCUGUUUUGUGAGGAUGAUCAGCCACACUGCGAAUGAGGCACGGCCCUGGCUCCUACUGGCGGCAGCAGUUAGAAAUAUUGGACCACGGGCCCACGCCUUGUCCAGCCAUGCCGCGUGAGUGAAGACGGCCUUAGGGUUGUAUAGCUCUUUCAGGUACGAGGAUAAUUACCGUAGUACCAAAAGAAGCCCCUGCUAAAUUCGUGCCAGCCGCCGCCGUAA
RNAcentral lists this ribosomal RNA (449 nucleotides) under uncultured bacterium. Its description in RNAcentral is "partial 16S ribosomal RNA". It matches the Rfam family "Bacterial small subunit ribosomal RNA", at positions 29 to 523 of the family's 1533-position model. The record is from RNAcentral.